GAAUGGAUCUAGAGCAUCCUGAAUUAUUUUCAAUUUGGCUCAGUAUGCGUAAAUGAUAUAACAGUCUACACUCUUUUAAACUAAUAACUUAACCAAGACGCGUGGUUUCGUCCAGCAAUUCCUCUAACUCUUUCUCUUCCUGAUUUAACAUUCGUAAAUCUAAUUUAGGUGAAAUGGGAGCCUUCGGCUUUUCAACUUUGGUAAUUGCAUCUAUAACAAAAUGAUUGUCGCAGCUUUGUCAAGUUAGUAUAUACGCUAUAAAAACUUUUGGUAAAAAUGACAGCAUUCAGUUUGAUUCAAACACUUGAAUCUGUAUAAUGCAAACAUACUUCGGACAAUACUCAUCGCUUUCAUCCAUAGUUUGAUCAAAUUGGAUUCUAAAAGCUUUUCGACAUUUUUUACAUAUCAGGGUAAGUUCUGAGGUUUUGAGCAAAGGGUGAUCAGCGAUUUCAUUAUGACAUUCAAUGCAAUCUAUCCAGCGACGGCAGCAGGCUGUGCGAAUCGACACCUGAGCGUUUAAAACAUGCUUGCUAUAAACUGUUAGUCAACAUACAAUAAACUUAAUAAUAGCGCCUGAAAAAGAUAGCUUUGGAAAAUUCAUUUUAACAAGGUCCUUUUCUUAGCAAUGAUAGAAUUUAAGCUGAAAAACUAGGAUUGUAAUCCAAUAACUUACCACAUGUCUACGCGUGAAUGUCUAGCUGAGAGUUGGGAAAGAGUAAUUAUCCCGAUGAGUACAGUUCGUUAAAUAUCAAUUAUAAAAAGUUGUUUUGCUAAUCGCUUUAGAAUUGUUUGCUAUAAUCAAAUUUUUUUUUAAUUACGUUAAAAUAAAAUUUGAUUAUCAAUCAGAUUGUUAUAUCUAUUAAACAUGUUGCCAAUUGUAAUUUGGCACAAAAAAUUACAGACUGGAUAUUAAAUAGCUUUUAUUAAACAUAAACGAGAGAUAUUUGUUUUCAGAAUGACUCUGAUUUGAAUGGUGAUUUACCGGCUCAAGAACUGCUAUUCCUUUCUGUUGAAAUAAAAUAGAAGCCACAUUUUACCUUAAUAAACUUUCUUUCACUAUAUUAAAUAUGCGAGACAUAUCAUUUGGAUCAAACAUCCAUAGACCCACAACGUGCUGAUUUUCAGUUCUGUGAAUUAGGUAUCGGUCGACAAGGUGCACAUUACUCGGAUGAUUAAUAAAUAAAUAGAGGUUUUCUGGUGAAUUUCUGUUCAAUAUGACAUAUCCAACUCUGGCUCUUUGGUCUUUAACUAGAAAAAAAGUUCCUUCAAUUGAGGUUUUUAACUUGAACGUUAGCAACGAGUUAAAUAAAAACAUAAACGUAGAAUAAAAGACUAUAUUCAUUUUUGAUCAAUAAAGUAAAGUUCGUAUCUUAAAAUUCCAUUGUUAAACGAUAUAUCAAAGCAGUUUACUUUCUAUAUAUCGACAAAUGGAAAAAUUCACAUAGUCAAAUCCAGUGAUAUAAAAUGUGUUUAUUUUUUUGUUCAUAUGCUUUCCUAAAUACGACUUGAUAUUGAUUUCGUUGUCACCGUUUUGUUAACUUACCCAUUUUUGCGAGCCAACAUCAAAUUGGUACACAGCUACGUGAGAAGCAAUAUCAAUAAUGCUUUCAAUCUCAGGAUAAUGAAAUUUCAGUACUUGUAGAUUGACAGCAUUCCGCAAUAUGUUUUCAUCUUCCAUUAUAAAACUUCUUUAGACAGUUUUUUUACAAUAAACUUUAAUAAAACCUGGC
Molecule: non-coding RNA, 1730 nt
Organism: Schizosaccharomyces pombe (fission yeast)
Lineage: Eukaryota; Fungi; Ascomycota; Schizosaccharomycetes; Schizosaccharomycetales; Schizosaccharomycetaceae
Source: the annotation of a GenBank genome assembly